This 253-nucleotide ribosomal RNA is filed under the name uncultured bacterium. Its description in RNAcentral is "partial 16S ribosomal RNA". It matches the Rfam family "Bacterial small subunit ribosomal RNA", at positions 524 to 776 of the family's 1533-position model. The record is from RNAcentral.
UACAGAGGUCUCAAGCGUUGUUCGGAUUCAUUGGGCGUAAAGGGUGCGUAGGCGGCGCGUUAAGUCGGGUGUGAAAUCUCGGGGCUUAACUCCGAAACUGCACUCGAUACUGCCGUGCUUGAGGACUGGAGAGGAGACUGGAAUUUACGGUGUAGCGGUGAAAUGCGUAGAUAUCGUAAGGAAGACCAGUGGCGAAGGCGGGUCUCUGGACAGUUCCUGACGCUGAGGCACGAAGGUCAGGGGAGCAAACGGG